UAAAUAAACAAAGUCAACAAAAUAACUAUGUUGUUCUUAGUUGUCUAUGCAGUAUCUACGUGUAUCAAUGACUUAUCUCUAAUUAUAAUUGAAUUGACGCCUUCAAUUGAGAUCAAAUGAAGUCAAUUUUUUUCUGUCCUCCAAAUGCACAGGAUCACUUGCAUCUUUAGGGACACUUUAAGACUGUCUUCGUUCCUUCACGACCAGGAUUAAGUGACUUGAUAUUUGUGUUAUACAAUCCAUCUCUUCUCUUAUUAUAUUGUUAUUACAUUAGUGUAGAUAACUAAACUGGCACCUACAAGUCAAGGAGUUUAUUAAGACAGCUGCAUUCAUAACCGUGUCCAUUCGUAGCACACUUGACAAGAUUCAAAC
Biomphalaria pfeifferi is the source of this 372-nucleotide non-coding RNA. NCBI's taxonomy places the organism in Eukaryota, Metazoa, Mollusca, Gastropoda, Planorbidae. The record is from the annotation of a GenBank genome assembly.